Molecule: long non-coding RNA, 507 nt
Organism: Bubalus bubalis (water buffalo)
Lineage: Eukaryota; Metazoa; Chordata; Mammalia; Artiodactyla; Bovidae
Exons: 3
Source: RefSeq, a predicted model, not a curated record
AGCUAGGCAGAUAAAGAUGGGAGAAUGAAGUCAAGCCGCAGAGCAGAAUUGGAGAGGAAAUGGCCGAUUUGCAAGUGUGAAGUGGAGAGGGAGAGAAGGAGGAAGGAGUGUAUAGUUUGAAGACUGGACCUUCUGAUCUGCCAGUCACACACAACACAUGUGUGAUGCGGUGGCUACAGUGAUUGGAGGUGAUGAGGACAAAACAUUAUCUAUGAAGAGUGUCAUUGUGGAAGAUUCCAACAAAGCAUUGGAAUGUUUCAAUAGUGCAUUUCUAAGGUUGGUCUGAGCAGUCAUAAGCCUAACAAGUUACAGGGAAGGGGAAACAGACUCCAUCUCUUCAUAAGGAGUGAGAAGAUUCCAAAAGAGAAUGUAUGACUUCAAAUAUUGCUCUUGUCACUUCUGGAAAAAGCAAUCUGCUAUAGUUACUGUCCUCUCAACAUUGAAAGUUGUAAAGUAUAUACAGCCAAGUAAAUAUCCAAAGCAAAAAAUAAACUCCCUUUAAAGCAA